Molecule: ribosomal RNA, 447 nt
Filed under: uncultured bacterium
Lineage: Bacteria
Description: bacterial SSU rRNA
Rfam family: Bacterial small subunit ribosomal RNA
Source: RNAcentral
UGGGGAAUAUUGGACAAUGGGGGCAACCCUGAUCCAGCCAUGCCGCGUGAGUGACGAAGGCCUUAGGGUUGUAAAACUCUUUCGUCGGGGACGAUAAUGACGGUACCCGAAGAAGAAGCUCCGGCUAACUUCGUGCCAGCAGCCGCGGUAAUACGAAGGGAGCUAGCGUUGUUCGGAAUCACUGGGCGUAAAGCGCACGUAGGCGGAUAGUUAAGUCAGGGGUGAAAUCCUGGGGCUCAACCCCAGAACUGCCUUUGAUACUGGCUGUCUCGAGGUCGAGAGAGGUUGGUGGAAUUCCUAGUGUAGAGGUGAAAUUCGUAGAUAUUAGGAAGAACACCAGUGGCGAAGGCGGCCAACUGGCUCGAUACUGACGCUGAGGUGCGAAAGCGUGGGGAGCAAACAGGAUUAGAUACCCAAGUAGUCCCUGAGCGGGCUGGCAAGGCGCAU